This is an RNA transcript of Schistocerca gregaria, 6900 nucleotides long. It is a transcript of the gene named two pore potassium channel protein sup-9, with no coding region annotated. The record is from RefSeq and is a predicted model, not a curated record. The transcript has 9 exons. Lineage: Eukaryota; Metazoa; Arthropoda; Insecta; Orthoptera; Acrididae.
AGCAUCCGGAUCGAUACUUGCAUCAGCUCAUACCUAACUUAUAGUGACAAAGGAUUAAUGUAAAUCUAGGGUAGGCAUGACUAAAUUGAUGACUGGAUGACGAUAACAUAAUAUAUGAUGCCGCUUUUAUUUAGGGCGUACAUCAGUGGUUGCUGAGGAAUUACAGGUAAAUCUCGAAACAGGUGGCUAACCGGGGGCCAGCAGGUAGUAGUGUGUCAGUCGGCCGUGCACGGCGCCACGGGUCUAGCGGCCGCACCCUGCGUCUGCCAGCAUCCGGAUCGAUACUUGCGCUGCAGGUAGUAGUGUGUCAGUCGUCCGCGCGCGGCGCCACGGGUCCUGCGUGCGCACUCUCCGGCUGCCAGCAUCCGGAUCGAUACUUGCGCCAGCUCUUAUCUAGUGCCUGGCUGCGGCUGCGGCCGGGCUGACACUCGAGCACCGGCGACAGCGGCGAAGACAGGAACAGGCUGCCUCUGCUGCUGCCGCUCGCCCCGGCACACUGACACUGCACGGCAGUCCGCACUGAGCCGCCGUGCGGUGAGGCCUCGCUGGAGCGGCAGCGGGGGCGGCGCCGGCGACCAUGAAGAGGCAGAACGUCCGCACCCUGUCGCUGGUGGUGUGCACGUUCACCUACCUGCUCGUCGGCGCCGCCGUCUUCGACGCCCUUGAGUCCGACACGGAGAGCAAGCGCUGGGAGGUGCUGUCAGAUCUGAAGGAGCAGCUGGUGAAGAAGUACAACAUCACGGCGGAGGACUACCGCGUCAUCGAGGUGGUCAUCAUCGAGAACAAGCCGCACAAGGCGGGACCGCAGUGGAAGUUCGCGGGCGCCUUCUACUUCGCGACCGUCGUGCUCGCCAUGAUAGGUUACGGCCACUCGACGCCGGUGACGAUCGGUGGGAAGGCGUUCUGCAUGGCGUACGCCAUGGUAGGCAUCCCGCUGGGGCUGGUGAUGUUCCAGAGCAUCGGCGAGCGCCUCAACAAGUUCGCCUCGGUAGUGAUUCGGCGCGCCAAGACGUACAUGCGCUGCUCGCGCGUCGAGGCGACCGAGAUGAACCUGAUGCUCGCGACGGGCCUGCUCAGCUCGGCCAUCAUCACCACCGGCGCCGCCGUCUUCUCGCGCUACGAGGGCUGGAGCUACUUCGACUCCUUCUACUACUGCUUCGUCACGCUCACCACCAUCGGCUUCGGAGACUACGUCGCACUGCAGAACGACCAGGCGCUGAGCGAGAAGCCGGGCUACGUGGCGCUGAGCCUGGUCUUCAUCCUGUUCGGGCUGGCAGUCGUCGCGGCCAGCAUCAACCUGCUGGUGUUGCGCUUCAUGACCAUGAACGCGGAGGACGUGCGCCGCGAGGACACGGAGCUGCAGCCGGCGUCGCAGCACGUGCUGACGCUGGACGGCGAGGUGCUGGCCAUGAACGGCAAGCUGCUGGCGGGGCACGUGCACGCCGCCGCCGGCGCCGGCGACGCGCCCGACGCCGACCAGGUGUCGGUGUGCUCGUGCACCUGCCUCGGGCCCUCGUCCUGCGCCUCCGGCGCCACCCCCGCGGGCUGCUACCAGCCCUGCCGGCCCGACCAGCCGCUGCAGCCGCCCCCGCACGCCUCCGCCGCCAAGCGCGCCUCCGUCUAGCCGCGGCUUGCCGGCGCACCGCCUCCCGGCUCCUCCGCUUACUACGUCGUGUGCAGAUGUGGGGACUUCGCACAGUUCCGCUUGCAGACUCAAAAGAGACGUCUUUAAUUUCAGCAACUAACUUCUCACCGACUGAAAACUGCUUUUCGUUCAAACGGAGUGCGUCGUACGGCACUUUCGACUGCGGAACCGCGAGGUGUAGGUUCGGACGCCUAAUAGCCAAGUGUCUGCUUCCUCGGCGCACGACAGUCCUUCUCCCCGCGAACUGUGAGAGUUUUGUCUUCAGUGUACGUGUAGUGGCUGUAUUUACAGUGUGGCAUCACGUAUUUGCUCUCUAUUCAUAAAAGAAUAGACACCUUGAACACAGUAUCAGUACAUAACCCAUUCCUUUCGAAGACAACCGAUGGGAACGUAAUGCUUAAUGCCACAUUUCCUUAUUUCCCGAGACAGUACAUAGAGGUGGCACUAAGAGUGGCGUUCAGGAAAUUUACUUGCCGGGCAUAUACUGGAUUCGAAAAUUCCUUCCCACAUCAGGAUUCAAACAAGCUAUCUCCUCCGUCUCGAGCGUUCCCACAAAGACGUGUACUAGCGAACUCUGUGAUAGAGGUGCGUACCGUCCAAAAGAUUUCCCGUGAGUGGAACGACUGUGUGGGAUCUGGAGAGUAAAGGACUGAGCGGAAUAUGUACAAGCAAUUUUAAUAACUGGAGUACAGAAUGCAUAUGUAGUUGUGAAUAUGAACCACCAUUGGGUGUAAAUCGGAAUGACGAUUACGAACAUUUCUGCCAUACUGGCACUCAAUCCCUGAUUUCCCAUUUUACAGGAGUGGUCACCUUGACUGCUUCAGGAUUCAAACAAGCUAUCUCCUCCGACUCGAGCGUUACCACAAAGACGUGUACUAGCGAACUCUGUGAUAGAGGUGGGUACCGUCCAAAAGAUUUCCCGUGAGUGGAACGACCUAGUGGGAUCUGGAGAUUAAUGGACUGAGGGUAAUAUGUACAAGCAAUUUGAAUAACUGUAACAAGAAAUGUAUUCGUAGUUGUCAAUAUAAACCACCAUUGGGUGUAAAUUGGAAUGACGAUAACGAAAAUUUCUACCAUACUGGGACUCGAUCCCUGAUUUUCAAUUUUACAGGAGUGGUCACCUUGACUGCUUCAGGAUUCAAACAAGCUAUCUCCUCCGACUCGAGUGUUACCACAAAGACGUGUACUACAGAACUCUGUGAUAGAGGUGGGUACCGUCCAAAAGAUUUCCCGUGAGUGGAACGACCGUGUGGGAUCUGGAGAUUAAAGGACUGAGGGGAAUAUGUACAAGCAAUUUGAAUAACUGUAACAAGAAAUGUAUUCUUAGUUGUGAAUAUGAACCACCAUUGACUGUAAAUUGGAAUGACGAUAUUGAAAAUUUGUGCCAUACUGGGACUCGAUCCCUGAUUUCCCAUUUUAUAGGAGUGGUCACCUUAACUGCUUCAGCUACCUGAGCACAAAUCACAGCCAGACCCAAACUUCGACAUGUCGUGUUGCAUGUGUCACAACUUGCACUCGUACGUUACAUGUAUUUCUGUUUGGGAAGACAUAUGUAUUGAGAGUCGAGGUCCUGAUAUUGGUGAAAUAGCAGUGCCUGUGUAAUAUCCCUUCUUUCGUGUCCAGAGGAACAUUACAUCAUACUUCUUAAUAACAAAGGCACUGCUAUUUCCUAAUUUAACAGCUUUUGCUAAGACUACCAUCGCCACAUUAUAACAAUUGUAAAAGGCUCCAACCAUGAUGCUGACCAUUUAGCCUUGGCUUCGGGCCUGUUAUAACAGGGACAGGUCCGAUGGCCAUACUUCCUUCAACUGUGUCUUCAUUUGCUUACCAUUCUGUAGGGUCCCCCACUUCAUCCUGCAUAGCCACUGUCUAAGGAGUUCCAAUGGGCGUAUGCAACGAACGCUGCAGAGUUAGUCGGCGACCUCAGAGAUGUCAAUCCGAAAUGCAUAUUAUGGCAGUCUGCAGUGCCACAGGGACAUCUUUUAUACCAUAGCAAACAAUACUGCAUUUGUGUUUGUGGUGCUGGAGAUCCAUCGUUCACUCUGGAUUGCACACCUUACUUCUUACUACCGCACGACAACUAAAAGAAGAAACUGUUAGAAAUUCACGCCUACAUCUUAUGGUGUUUUUAUGGGAAUAUGUACACUGAGGGCUCAUGGAAACACAAUGGCUCCACAACAUUCUGCACAGCAGGCAACUGCUGAUACACCAACUGUCUUGACUAGCGACAUGUAGAGGGUGACAAUUAUUGAAGUAUAUGAAAAAAAAUUAUGGCGUCCACACACUUUAUUCAAUACAUAAACGUCACUACACAUAUUCCAAUUUCGGUUAUGACAUGUACGAUAUGCCUGCCAUCACUGGUGAUGAUGCGGAACAGACGAAUAGUGAAAUUCUGCGAGACCCACGAAGUGUCGGAACAUCGAUGCUGUUUGACGACCCCCUGAAUGGCUGUUUUCAUCUCAGCAAUGGUUUUGGGAUUCUGCUGCGCACCUUGUCUUUAAUGUAGCCCCACAAAAAGGAGUUGUAUGUGUUCAGAUCCGGAGAAUAUGGUGGCCAAUCGAGGCCCAUGCCAGUGACCUCUGGGUACCCCAGAACCAGAAUGCAGUCCCAAAAGUGCUCCUCCAGGACAUCAAACACUGUCCUGUUUAGAUGGGGUCGACCUCCAUCCUGCAUGAACCACAUCUUUUUGACAUCAGGGUCAUUUUGGAUAAUGGGGAUGAAAUCAUCUUCCAAAACCUUCACUUACCAUUCGGUAAUCACCACGUUAUCAAGGAAUAUUGGACCGAUUGUUCCAUGACUGUAUGCUGCACACCACACAGCCACCUGUUGAGGGUGAAGAGACUUCUCGAUCGUGAAAUACGGUUCCUCAAUCUCCCAAAUGCGCCAACUUUGCUUAUUGACAAACCCAUCGAAAUGAGAGUAGGCUUUGUCACUAAACCAAAUGUGCGUGCACAAACUAAUCCCCAUUGUGCCCAGUGGCCAACUGUGCAAUUUGAACGUCCUAAUACAAACCAUUCAGAAGUUAUAACAAUUCAUAUAGUUCAAUGAUUGUCACCCUGUAUAUGUGAGGCAUACUGUGCAACUCCACAUUUUGUUCCAUUGAAUCUCAUCAAUGUUCAGCUUCUAUAGUCGGUGGCAGUGUUAAUGGCCGCUGGCCACACAGCUCCUGAGAAAUGCUCCAUUGUCAGCUGAAAAUUCACCAGUAUCGCCACAAGCCACUGCAGUGUGUUCCUGCAGUUUGGCAACCUCACAGACAAACUCGACUGAACCUGCCUCACAUUUGAAGAACGAGUACACUUCAAAUAUAAGGUCCCUUCCCUGUCUGUGAAACUCUUAGCACCUUCUAAGUGUUUCAGCUAUUAUAAAAAAAACUCACAGAAUACACAGAAAUCAAUCAAUCAUAGUUUUGCACAUGUAGAACAUGAUAGAAUGCUCAAAUGUGAUGGACGUUCGCACAGCACAGAACGCGGAAACUGGAUGAGUACUGAUUGGCUAGCUGCACUGAUUGGCUAGCUGCACAGCUAUCUACUUUUCAUCCUAGCCCAGAGGUAAAAAACCAUUGUAUGGACUAGAAGUGUAACGAAUAUCAGCAGUAUUUUCUUUGUUGGCAAUGGUUAGCUACAUUGUAAUCAUGAAAAUGGGUUACCUCUGUUUCUAAAAAAGACUGAGGCACCUGUGUGAUUUGUGAACAACAUGCCAAUGAACUGUUGUACCAUAUUUCUGACAAGUGUGCAUAGACCUAUUCUCGAUAUGGAAAAUAACCCUCAUUAUUCUGACAUGCAUUUCUACAGUCAUUUGCAUCCAAACUGGUCUGCACUAGGCAAGUGACUUCCACUUAUUAAGAUCCAAUAAGCACCUGUCUAAUGAGCAUAGCUACCAAUGAAUCAAUGAUACUAUUAUACUGUGCUCUGGGUUUUCCAUGGUAUGUUAACGCAGACACAGUCUCACUUCCACUGUAAUAUUUCCUCUGCAAUCUACAGUCAUGUCAGUGGAUCGUUCCACAAGCCUGUACUUCAUUUAGAUUUGCUGGGAUACAACCAUCACCAAGCUCUCUAAAUGAUAUGGCAGCAAUGUUAUACCUUGAUGGGAAAACAAUAAACAAUAUACAAAUGUACUGAGCUGUAUACAAGUGUCAGUGCAUGUGCUUCUCAGUGUGCAUAUUUCUUUCUGUUGUUUGAAGUUUCAUGGUAAGGUACAAUUGCAGAUGAUGAGUGCAUAUGAAGUAGAACGAUUUUUCCACUUGUAAUUAAAAUGAAAAUGUAAUUGACACACAAAGUGAAAGAGGAGACAUUUACAUAAUAUUACUCACUGAAAUGUGAGAGAGAAAACUCGAAACUAAAUAAUCAGUACUUAAUCCACAAUGCUUACACACUUGUUCAUACUGUAUACAGUCUGCUUUCCUUCUGGUUUGAUAUGGGUAGUAAAAUGCUUUCCAUGUCCGAGACCAGAAAAGGGAAUCAGAGUUUUACAGACCUCUCCCACAGAGUCCUGCAUUAGCAAAUAUGGCAUCACAGCAGCAUAACACUAUGAGGUAACUUGUUGAGAACAGGUACACAGAAUGACUGUACAAGGAUUGUGAAUAAACAAUGAAAACAAAACUAAAAGGUAAGUUACUUGGAAAAAUCUCAAGCAAGCAGAAUAAGUUGGGAACUGCCCAUUCUAGCAUCAGCUAGUGAGUUUAACACUGAAAUGUAUUUAAAAGAUAGAUCAGUAAAAAUCAGGUCUUAUAAAUUGUAUUUGUGCCUAGGGUAUGACUGCAGAGUUUUCUACACAAUCUGCUGUCAAAAUUGUACAUCAGACUGCCACUAAACAAUAUUCUCCAUACUGUAAAUGAAACACACAGUAAAGCUAAAGGCAUUGAAGAUACAAUUCAUUGAUGGUCUCAACCACAAUCAAUUGUCACAAGAAACCCUCAUUCAUGUGUUCCACAGAGAAUACAUAUUUUCUAUUUGAAUAUUGUUUAGUAUAUUUUUGGUGUAUUACACACAAAAGAUACACUGUAAUACAUGUUACAAAAUGAUAAUUACUAUGGAUGAAAUGCUUUUUUUCCAGUUUCACACUUCCUAUUUUUAUAUUGUUGUUAAAUGGUGUACUAAACAAAUAAUAAAGAUUUUACAUUUUGUCUUCCAUAUGAAGUUACAAGAAAUUUAUAAGCUAAUCUCUAUACCUAAAAUAUCCUAUUUUCUGUGUCACUGACCAUAAUUCCCAUUUAUGUCUGUAACAUAGUCUGUGUUAAUAAAUGCACUUAACAACAA